GGAUGUGGAAGGGAGGGGGAAAAAACAGAAAAGAAGAAGAAGAAGUUAUUUUAUUUCUUUUCUGUGCUGAUUUUUACCCCCUUUUUUUCUUUC
RNAcentral lists this microRNA precursor (93 nucleotides) under Trypanosoma vivax Y486. The record is from RNAcentral. Lineage: Eukaryota; Euglenozoa; Kinetoplastea; Trypanosomatida; Trypanosomatidae.